This 156-nucleotide unclassified non-coding RNA is filed under the name uncultured Chaetothyriales. RNAcentral's name for it is "sequence contains ITS2". Lineage: Eukaryota; Fungi; Ascomycota; Eurotiomycetes; Chaetothyriales. The record is from RNAcentral.
UCACAAUAUCAAGCUUGGCUUGUUGUUGGGCCCUUUGUCACCUGGUGACAGGUCCAAAAGACAAUAACUGGUGUCAUACAGACUCUAUAUGCAACGAGCUUAUAACAGCACGCAUCUGGUGGUUGUGUGGCCCAGUUUUCACUUUAAAUUUCUCAA